This 82-nucleotide transfer RNA is filed under the name Oscillatoria sp. SIO1A7. RNAcentral's name for it is "tRNA-Leu". It matches the Rfam family "tRNA". From Rfam's summary of the family: Transfer RNA (tRNA) molecules are approximately 80 nucleotides in length. Their secondary structure includes four short double-helical elements and three loops (D, anti-codon, and T loops). Further hydrogen bonds mediate the characteristic L-shaped molecular structure. tRNAs have two regions of fundamental functional importance: the anti-codon, which is responsible for specific mRNA codon recognition, and the 3' end, to which the tRNAs corresponding amino acid is attached (by aminoacyl-tRNA synthetases). tRNAs cope with the degeneracy of the genetic code in two manners: having more than one tRNA (with a specific anti-codon) for a particular amino acid; and 'wobble' base-pairing, i.e. permitting non-standard base-pairing at the 3rd anti-codon position. The record is from RNAcentral. Lineage: Bacteria; Bacillati; Cyanobacteriota; Cyanophyceae; Oscillatoriales; Oscillatoriaceae.
GGGCGAGUGGCGAAAUUGGUAGACGCACUACACUCAAAAUGUAGCGGCUUCGGUCAUGGGAGUUCGAGUCUCCCCUCGCCCA